UNGCCAGAUGCUGCACCAAGAGAUGUUGU
Molecule: non-coding RNA, 29 nt
Filed under: Mus musculus (house mouse)
Lineage: Eukaryota; Metazoa; Chordata; Mammalia; Rodentia; Muridae
Source: RNAcentral